UGGGGAAUUUUGGACAAUGGGCGAAAGUCUGAUCUAGCAACACCGCGUGUGCGAAGAAGGCCUUCGGGUUGUAAAGCACUUUUUGGAAGGAUUAGGAAGGAAUGUACUUCCAGAAUAAGUCUCGGCUAACUACGUGCCAGCAGCCGCGGUAACACGUAGGAGGCAAACGUUAUCCGGAUUUACUGGGCGUAAAGCGCGUGUAGGUGGUUCUGUAAGUAGGGCGUGAAAGCUCCUGGCUCAACUGGGAGAGGCCGUUCUAAACUGCAGAGCUAGAAGAUGGUAGAGGGAGGUGGAAUUCCGGGUGUAGCGGUGGAAUGCGCAGAUAUCCGGAGGAACACCAGUGGCGAAAGCGGCCUCCUGGACCAUUCCUGACACUCAGACGCGAAAGCUAGGGUAGCAAACG
This 403-nucleotide ribosomal RNA is filed under the name uncultured prokaryote. RNAcentral's name for it is "bacterial SSU rRNA". It matches the Rfam family "Bacterial small subunit ribosomal RNA", at positions 355 to 774 of the family's 1533-position model. The record is from RNAcentral.